This 50-nucleotide non-coding RNA is filed under the name unclassified sequences. RNAcentral's name for it is "L31-Gammaproteobacteria ribosomal protein leader". It matches the Rfam family "L31-Gammaproteobacteria ribosomal protein leader". The record is from RNAcentral.
CGUGUGGUGUUCGGCUUAGAAUCGAAUGGCGACACGGCCUAUAAUGAGGU